This is a small nucleolar RNA of Talpa occidentalis (Iberian mole), 69 nucleotides long. RefSeq annotates it as small nucleolar RNA SNORD113/SNORD114 family. The record is from RefSeq and is a predicted model, not a curated record. Lineage: Eukaryota; Metazoa; Chordata; Mammalia; Eulipotyphla; Talpidae. The transcript has a single exon.
UGGAUCGAUGAUGACCACUGGUGGCGUAUGAGUUGGAGUCAAUGACUACAUGUGAAAUCUGAGGUCCAA